UGGGUUUCAUCAUCUCAGCUUUCAGCGUCUCCCAUGCAGUGAAAUCUAGGAAAUAGUGCACGAAAUCGUCCCGUUGGUUUUUCGUUAUUUUGUUGUUGUGUAUAUUGUUGUUUGUCUCUUUAUACUUUUGCCAUGUCGUUGCCAGUUUGACUGAUGAGUUUGAAUCUCUCUUUGGCAUCUUUAGCCUCUUUUGUAGACGGAACACGCGUCUGUGAUAAUCAUUUAAAAGGUAUAUUUAUUGAUUUACUUAAGUAUUCUACUACCACCAUUGUAUAAAAUGAAUUGCAUAUGCAUUUGUACGCUAUACUUAUCUGUUUUGUAUUUGACACUUACAAG
This 336-nucleotide long non-coding RNA is filed under the name Mytilus galloprovincialis (Mediterranean mussel). Lineage: Eukaryota; Metazoa; Mollusca; Bivalvia; Mytilida; Mytilidae. The record is from RNAcentral.